Molecule: transfer RNA, 75 nt
Filed under: Parvibaculum sp.
Lineage: Bacteria; Pseudomonadati; Pseudomonadota; Alphaproteobacteria; Hyphomicrobiales; Parvibaculaceae
Description: tRNA-Val
Rfam family: tRNA
About the family: Transfer RNA (tRNA) molecules are approximately 80 nucleotides in length.
Source: RNAcentral
GGGCGUGUAGCUCAGCGGGAGAGCACCUCGUUGACAUCGAGGGGGUCGUCGGUUCAAUCCCGGCCACGCCCACCA